Molecule: long non-coding RNA, 3868 nt
Filed under: Homo sapiens (human)
Lineage: Eukaryota; Metazoa; Chordata; Mammalia; Primates; Hominidae
Description: HSALNT0134749
Source: RNAcentral
CCUGAGACGUGGAGGUUGCAGUCAGUUGAAAUUGUGCCACUGCAUUCCAGACUGGGUGACAGAGCAAAAUGUCAUCUCAAAAAAAAAAAAAAAAAAUUAGUGGGGACCAGAGAUAGGGGAUGGCAGAAGGCUCAGGGCUCCACAAGGGGACCCCAUCCCACAAACACCCCAAACCUAGUAAGUUCUACUUAAAUUCAGGAUGUUUGGCAUGAGCAAGUCCCUAAUGAAAAUAAAAAGUGGCUUUCAGCACCCCGAGACCCAUGUUGCCCAACUGAACUGAGGUCUGUGCCUCCAGGGCAGUGAAGCCAAACAUUCAAACUGAGGUUUUGUAGUGAGAGAAAGGAGGGUGUUUAUUUUCAGGGCACCCAGCAAGGAGAAUCAGGCAGCUCACCUGACCUUCCCAGUGGCUUGCAAGCAAGGGUUUCUAAAGGCAGGCAGGCAGAGGUUACACACAAAGUCAUAAGUCAAUACAUGGAGGCUACAUAUUGGUUUGACCUUAACACACAGGAUAUCUUGAAGCAGGGGCUUACAGGUCACGGGGUAGGGGAUUCAACAAUUUUCUGAUUUGCAGUUGGUUAAGGAAGGGAAGCUCUAUUUAAAAAUUGAGAGUCAGCAUUAAAGAACGUUAGGUCUGGCCCAUGGGCGUGACUUCCUUCAGGUCCUUCAAGAAAAAAUGCAGAACAAGAAAUAGCAGUCAGAGUUCAGUCCUCAGUUUCCCCUUUUCUGAGGUCUGCGUGCCAGCAGAUCCAUUUGGUAGAGGUCUGGGUUUCUGAAAAAUAACUCAGGAACAUAUGUUAAGAUGUAUCUUCAGUUUCUAUAGGGAACCAAACAUCUCAUGGCUCUAAUUUUAUUGCUAUUGUUUUAUGGUAUGAUUACCUUUUUACUUAUGAAGUUGCUCAUUAAUUUCUCAGGGAUAGCUAGGUGCCUGCAAUUUUCCUUAAAGGAACUCAAGAUUUUUAUUUCCACACUGUGGAGGAGGGGUGGCGUGGCAAGCCCCUAAGAGGGAAUCCUCCUCCAUCUCACCCAGGCUAAACAGAGACAGAACAUUCAGACAGACCAGUGGGGCAGGGGAAUCUGCCGCACAUCCGCUGACAUACACAGAUGUAUACGGUAUUUUCAAGUCUGAUGAGAAAUGGUUUGGGUAUAUGUCAUUCCCCAGCACAGGCACCAAUAUCUUCCCAAGUAGUUUCCUUCCACUUUUACUAGUGCCUUCUCCCUGCCGUCCCCUCCAGGGUUCCUGCCGUUUCAUGCCAAUAAUUUAAUUACUCUCUUUGCAGAGGCUCAGUUCUACAGACAGCCUAAUUUGAGGUUUGCCUUACUCUUAAAUAUAUAUAUCGUUUCAAUGGAUUUAUGAAAGGGAGAAAAGAGUGCAGAAACAAUUAAGGCAUCAAAGACAAGCUCAUCCAAGCUCCCAAGGACAAAAAAAAAAAAAAAAAAAAAAAAAGAAAAAAAUGAAGGACCCAGCCAAGGACCUCCUCUUCCCUCUGUUCGUGCUCUCUGACAGUGACCAACACCAGGCUUUCUGGUCAAACAGCCUGAGCUCCUGGGCGGAUUUUCCUGGUGUUUUCAGCAGAAGGAACAGCUGUCCCGGGAUUUGCUGGUAUUCCCAGGGAGCUGGAACUGAAUUGUUGGCCAAACUGCAGAUGAUUCGUUUAAGGGUCGGAAUGAGAGACAGACAGGGCUUUCGGAGAUAAAUAAUGAACUCCACUGAGUUUCAGGCUGAAGAGAAGAGAGAGACCUGCGGCUGUUUCCGCCCACUCGUCCCAGCACAGCCACCAGAGAACGCCGCGUGGUUUGUUGUUUGGACCCUCCCAGAGCCUCUUCCAGAUGCUGUUGGAAAAAAAGAAAAGAAAAGCUGGGCAGCCAGUGUCACAGCCCAGAUGCCAUCUCGGUCUAUCCGCGGAAAUGCAAGCACGCAGCGCCAAGCCCAACCCAGUAGGUGCCAGGCCCUGGGUGCAGGCUUCAGCUUCACGCCACAUCCUCUCUCUCUUUUCAGUCUCUGAGUGACUUGACUCAGCCAGGGAGAGGAGAUACCUACACAUCCGCAUGAAGGCGCGUGGGAGGAAGCCGAGAAAUGACGGAUGGCGCAGGGCCUACUGCAGCCGCACGUAGACUAGCUCCUUCUUUACGGGCAAAACCCCCUACUUGUCUGCAGUGGGAAAGGAGUCCGUUCAGGGCAAGCUCUGAUCGCUGAGCUAUGGAUGUAGAUGGUAACUAGGCGUCUGGAGGUCAUUACACACCAUAUUCGGAUGGUGGAAAUCAUUGCUUAUUUCAGGACACUAAAAUGGUCCAUUUUUAUGUAUUAAAGUUAUUAAGAAUGAACUGGCUGGGCCGGAGUUGUGGCUCACUCCUGUAAUCCCAAGACUUAAGGAGGCGGAGGCGGAGGCGGAGGCGGGAGGAUCGUUUGAGGCCAGGAGUUCAAGACCAGACUGGGCAACAUAGUGAGAUACACACCCCACCGCCACCACCACCCCAACAAAAAACUUAACAAUUAGCUGGGCUUGUGGGUAUGUGACUUAGUCCCAGCUACUCCGGAGGCUGAGGUGGGAGGAUCACUGGAGUCCAGGAGCUCCAGGCUGCAGUGAGCUAUGUGAUUACACCGCUGCACUCUAGGCUGGGCAACAGAGGGAGACUCAAAAAAAAAAAAAAAAGAGCAAAUGGCUGGCUCACUGUAAGGAAUUUUGGAAUUUUAUCUGGUUAAAACAGGCUCUUCCCGCCCACUUCCUCACCCGCCUGGCUGUGCCUGCCCCAGUCCCACCCUGAGUGGUGGCUUACCCAGGUGUGGCCGCCCUGUGGUCAGCUCAGGAGGCAUCUCCGGGUGGGAAGGUGACUUAGUUGUCUCACAGUAAAGUUACACUGGGCCUCAGUAGAUAGUCUUUGGUCCCCUGUAUCAGCAUCCCCAGAGAGCUGUGCAAAUGCACAUUCCUGGCCCUAUGGCACUCUAAGCUGGACUCUGGGAGUGGCAGCUCAGAAGCUUUAGUAUAAGCAAGCUCCCGGCUGUUUCUUGUUGCAGAUUAGGGUUUGAGAACCACUCCUCUUUCGCCACAUUGUAAACUCACUAAAUGCUCUCCUAGUGAGUAAAUAAAUAUAAUAGAAUCUAACUCCUGCAAAGGUAUUAACCAGUCUGUCUAACAAUGGUGGACAUUUUUGUAAAGAAACUCUUGAAGUUUUCAAAACUUAAGUUUAAAAUGGCAGCUCCUUGGUUUGUGGGGAGAGCUGUCAGAGUGGGAACCCUGUCCACAUCCCCCCAGAUAUUCACAUACACCCACUACUCAUAGACUCCCAAUCCCAUGGCGAAGAACACGAUCUUGUUGGUGUUAUUUUCUCACUGCCUACCAAGCUGCCCAGCAGGCACUUUACAGACUUUAUCUCCAUAUUCAUAUCAGCGUACAAAGUACAAGUCCCAAUUUCCAGACAAGGAAACUGGGGUUCAGAAAGAUUAAACAAUUUGCCUUCUUAUAUUGCUACUAAGGGCCAAGGUGCAGAUUCAAAUCCAUUCAAGUCCCAAAGCUUGCAUGAUCUUACCACAGUCACCAAAAUCUAUUUCAUAAGUUCAAAAUGGCAUCAGAGGUUCAUAAUCAGGACAGGCAAUGCCCUGCAGGUUUAUCUAGAACACCUUUCCCACUUUACAGAUAAGAGGCAAUGCAGUAUGAACCUGAGGCUAGCUGAUAUGAUUUGUCUGAGCUGCUUAGUUUUGUUUAAGAAACUUGAAUUAUUCAAUAUUGAAAAUCCUUGAGAUUUUACACUAAAACUCAGACUUUUUCUCUCUUAUAAAAGCAGAUUUUUGUAACCCCGAACCCCAUUCCUGAUUCUGUUCAUGGUUAACUGUAUAGGUUUUGAAAUCCACAGACGUGGGUUUGAGUCCUGG